RNAcentral lists this transfer RNA (84 nucleotides) under Patescibacteria group bacterium. RNAcentral describes it as "tRNA-Leu". It matches the Rfam family "tRNA". Rfam says of the family: Transfer RNA (tRNA) molecules are approximately 80 nucleotides in length. Their secondary structure includes four short double-helical elements and three loops (D, anti-codon, and T loops). The record is from RNAcentral.
GCCGCGGUGGCGGAAUUGGUAGACGCGCUGGAUUCAAAAUCCAGUGAUGGCAACAUCGUGAGAGUUCAAGUCUCUCUCGCGGCA